AGCGAACGCUGGCGGCAGGCUUAACACAUGCAAGUCGAGCGGGCACUUCGGUGUCAGCGGCAGACGGGUGAGUAACACGUGGGAACGUACCCUUCGGUUCGGAAUAACGCUGGGAAACUAGCGCUAAUACCGGAUACGCCCUUUUGGGGGAAGGUUUACUGCCGAAGGAUCGGCCCGCGUCUGAUUAGCUAGUUGGUGGGGUAAUGGCCUACCAAGGCGACGAUCAGUAGCUGGUCUAAGAGGAUGAUCAGCCACACUGGGACUGAGACACGGCCCAGACUCCUACGGGAGGCAGCAGUGGGGAAUAUUGGACAAUGGGCGCAAGCCUGAUCCAGCCAUGCCGCGUGAGUGAUGAAGGCCUUAGGGUUGUAAAGCUCUUUUGUCCGGGACGAUAAUGACGGUACCGGAAGAAGAAGCCCCGGCUAACUUCGU
RNAcentral lists this ribosomal RNA (432 nucleotides) under uncultured bacterium. RNAcentral's name for it is "partial 16S ribosomal RNA". It matches the Rfam family "Bacterial small subunit ribosomal RNA", at positions 29 to 506 of the family's 1533-position model. The record is from RNAcentral.